GAUCCUGGCUCAGAUUAAACGCUGGCGGCAGGCUUAACACAUGCAAGUCGAACGGCAGCACGGGAGCAAUCCUGGUGGCGAGUGGCGAACGGGUGAGUAAUAUAUCGGAACGUGCCCAGUAGUGGGGGAUAGCCCGGCGAAAGCCGGAUUAAUACCGCAUACGACCUGUGGGUGAAAGCGGGGGAUCGCAAGACCUCGCGCUAUUGGAGCGGCCGAUAUCAGAUUAGGUAGUUGGUGGGGUAAAGGCUCACCAAGCCAACGAUCUGUAGCUGGUCUGAGAGGACGACCAGCCACACUGGAACUGAGACACGGUCCAGACUCCUACGGGAGGCAGCAGUGGGGAAUUUUGGACAAUGGACGCAAGUCUGAUCCAGCCAUUCCGCGUGCAGGAUGAAGGCCCUCGGGUUGUAAACUGCUUUUGUACGGAACGAAAAGGUUUCUAUUAAUACUAGGAGCUCAUGACGGUACCGUAAGAAUAAGCACCGGCUAACUACGUG
Molecule: ribosomal RNA, 497 nt
Filed under: uncultured bacterium
Lineage: Bacteria
Description: bacterial SSU rRNA
Rfam family: Bacterial small subunit ribosomal RNA
Source: RNAcentral